This 253-nucleotide ribosomal RNA is filed under the name uncultured bacterium. RNAcentral's name for it is "partial 16S ribosomal RNA". It matches the Rfam family "Bacterial small subunit ribosomal RNA", at positions 524 to 776 of the family's 1533-position model. The record is from RNAcentral.
UACGGAGGGUGCAAGCGUUGUUCGGAAUCAUUGGGCGUAAAGCGCGUGUAGGCGGCUUGGCAAGUCGGUUGUGAAAGCCCGGGGCCCAACCCCGGAAUUGCAUCUGAAACUGCCUGGCUGGAGUCCCGGAGAGGAAGGCAGAAUUCCCGGUGUAGGGGUGAAAUCCGUAGAUAUCGGGAGGAAUACCAGCGGCGAAGGCGGCCUUCUGGACGGUGACUGACGCUGAGACGCGAAAGCGUGGGGAGCAAACAGG